This 1122-nucleotide ribosomal RNA is filed under the name Klebsiella pneumoniae. Its description in RNAcentral is "partial 23S ribosomal RNA". It matches the Rfam family "Bacterial large subunit ribosomal RNA", at positions 398 to 1527 of the family's 2925-position model. Lineage: Bacteria; Pseudomonadati; Pseudomonadota; Gammaproteobacteria; Enterobacterales; Enterobacteriaceae. RNAcentral also lists the same sequence under 1 other name. The record is from RNAcentral.
UGUGAACUCGAAGAGUAGGGCGGGACACGUGGUAUCCUGUCUGAAUAUGGGGGGACCAUCCUCCAAGGCUAAAUACUCCUGACUGACCGAUAGUGAACCAGUACCGUGAGGGAAAGGCGAAAAGAACCCCGGCGAGGGGAGUGAAAAAGAACCUGAAACCGUGUACGUACAAGCAGUGGGAGCACCUUCGGGUGUGACUGCGUACCUUUUGUAUAAUGGGUCAGCGACUUAUAUUCUGUAGCAAGGUUAACCGUAUAGGGGAGCCGCAGGGAAACCGAGUCUUAACUGGGCGUUAAGUUGCAGGGUAUAGACCCGAAACCCGGUGAUCUAGCCAUGGGCAGGUUGAAGGUUGGGUAACACUAACUGGAGGACCGAACCGACUAAUGUUGAAAAAUUAGCGGAUGACUUGUGGCUGGGGGUGAAAGGCCAAUCAAACCGGGAGAUAGCUGGUUCUCCCCGAAAGCUAUUUAGGUAGCGCCUCGUGAAUUCAUCUUCGGGGGUAGAGCACUGUUUCGGCUAGGGGGUCAUCCCGACUUACCAACCCGAUGCAAACUACGAAUACCGAAGAAUGUUAUCACGGGAGACACACGGCGGGUGCUAACGUCCGUCGUGAAGAGGGAAACAACCCAGACCGCCAGCUAAGGUCCCAAAGUCAUGGUUAAGUGGGAAACGAUGUGGGAAGGCACAGACAGCCAGGAUGUUGGCUUAGAAGCAGCCAUCAUUUAAAGAAAGCGUAAUAGCUCACUGGUCGAGUCGGCCUGCGCGGAAGAUGUAACGGGGCUAAACCAUGCACCGAAGCUGCGGCAGCGACACUAUGUGUUGUUGGGUAGGGGAGCGUUCUGUAAGCCUGCGAAGGUGACCUGUGAGGGUUGCUGGAGGUAUCAGAAGUGCGAAUGCUGACAUAAGUAACGAUAAAGCGGGUGAAAAGCCCGCUCGCCGGAAGACCAAGGGUUCCUGUCCAACGUUAAUCGGGGCAGGGUGAGUCGACCCCUAAGGCGAGGCCGAAAGGCGUAGUCGAUGGGAAACAGGUUAAUAUUCCUGUACUUGGUGUUACUGCGAAGGGGGGACGGAGAAGGCUAUGUUAGCCGGGCGACGGUUGUCCCGGUUUAAGCAUGUAGGCUG